GCUCCCGUAGCUCAGUCGGAUAGAGCGCCGUCGAAACAGAGUUGGUGGAGGUCGCGGGAUCGAGGCCCGUCGGGAGCC
Molecule: transfer RNA, 78 nt
Filed under: Rhizobium oryzihabitans
Lineage: Bacteria; Pseudomonadati; Pseudomonadota; Alphaproteobacteria; Hyphomicrobiales; Rhizobiaceae
Description: Rhizobium sp. M15 tRNA-OTHER
Source: RNAcentral